AAAAAGGCCGUCCCCAAGUCCCUUUCUGUGUUUCGCUCGCACGUCAAGUCCCUCAAAAAAACAAAAAAAGGCCGUCCCCAAGUCCCUUCAAGUCAGCUCGCACGUCAAGUCCCUCAAAAAAACAAAAAAAGGCCGUCCCCAAGUCCCUUCAGUCGCUCACUACGUCAAGUCCCUCAAAAAACAAAAAAGGCCGUCCCCAAGUCCCUUCGUCGCUCGCUGCGUCAAGUCCCUCAAAAAAACAAAAAAAGGCCGUCCCCCAAGUCCCUUCGUCAGCUCGCACGUCAAGUCCCUCAAAAAAACAAAAAGGCCGUCCCCAAUUCCCUUCGUCGCUCGCACGUCAAGUCCCUCAAAAAACAAAAAGGCCGUCCCCAAGUCCCUUCCGUCGCUCGCACGUCAAGUCCCUCAAAAAAACAAAAAGGCCGUCCCCAAGUCCCUUACGUCGCUCGCACGUCAAGUCCCUCAAAAAAACAAAAAGGCCGUCCCCAAGUCCCUUCGUCGCUCGCAGUCAAGUCCCUCAAAAAAACAAAAAAAGGCCGUCCCCAAGUCCCUUCAGUCGCUCGCACGUCAAGUCCCUCAAAAAAACAAAAAAAGGCCGUCCCCAAGUCCCUGUAAGUCGCUCGCACGUCAAGUCCCUCAAAAAAACAAAAAAAGGCCGUCCCCAAGUCCCUUCAGUCGCUCGCACGUCAAGUCCCUCAAAAAACAAAAAGGCCGUCCCCAAGUCCCGUCGUCGCUCGCACGUCAAGUCCCUCAAAAAAACAAAAAGGCCGUCCCCAAGUCCCUUCAGUCGCUCGCACGUCAAGUCCCUCAAAAAAACAAAAAGGCCGUCCCCAAGUCCCGUCAGUCGCUCGCACGUCAAGUCCCUCAAAAAAACAAAAAGGCCGUCCCCAAGUCCCUUCGUCCGCUCGCACGUCAAGUCCCUCAAAAAAACAAAAAAAGGCCGUCCCCCAAGUCCCUUCGUCAGCUCGUACGUCAAGUCCCUCAAAAAAACAAAAAGGCCGUCCCCAAGUCCCUUCAGUCGCUCGCACGUCAAGUCCCUCAAAAAAACAAAAAAAGGCCGUCCCCAAGUCCCUUCGUCGCUCGCACGUCAAGUCCCUCAAAAAAACAAAAAGGCCGUCCCCAAGUCCCUUCGUCAGCUCGCACGUCAAGUCCCUCAAAAAACAAAAAGGCCGUCCCCAAGUCCCUUCCGUCAGCUCGCACGUCAAGUCCCUCAAAAAAACAAAAAAAGGCCGUCCCCAAGUCCCUUCGUCGCUCUCACGUCAAGUCCCUCAAAAAACAAAAAGGCCGUCCCCAAGUCCCUUCAUCGCUCGCACGUCAAGUCCCUCAAAAAACAAAAAGGCCGUCCCCAAGUCCCGUCGUCGCUCGCACGUCAAGUCCCUCAAAAAACAAAAAGGCCGUCCCCAAGUCCCUUCGUCGCUCGCACGUCAAGUCCCUCAAAAAAACAAAAAAAGGCCGUCCCCAAGUCCCUUCGUCGCUCGUACGUCAAGUCCCUCAAAAAAACAAAAAAAGGCCGUCCCCAAGUCCCUUACGUCGCUCGCACGUCAAGUCCCUCAAAAAAACAAAAACGUCCCCAAGUCCCUUACUCGCUCGCACAUCAAGUCCCUCAAAAAAAAAAAAGGCCGUCCCCAAGUCCCUUCGUCGCUCGCACGUCAAGUCCCUCAAAAAAACAAAAAAAGGCCGUCCCCAAGUCCCUUAAAGUCACUCGCACGUCAAGUCCCUCAAAAAAACAAAAAAAGGCCGUCCCCAAGUCCCUUCUUCGCUCGCACGUCAAGUCCCUCUAAAAAACAAAAAGGCCGUCCCCAAGUCCCUUAGUCGCUCGCACGUCAAGUCCCUCAA
Long non-coding RNA from Cyprinus carpio carpio, 1833 nucleotides. NCBI's taxonomy places the organism in Eukaryota, Metazoa, Chordata, Actinopteri, Cypriniformes, Cyprinidae. The record is from Ensembl.